CGUGGAGACAGGUGGUGCAUGGCUGUCGUCAGCUCGUGUCGUGAGAUGUUGGGUUAAGUCCCGCAACGAGCGCAACCCUCACCUCUUGUUGCCAUCAGGUCAUGCUGGGCACUCUAGAGGAACUGCCCCGGUCAACGGGGAGGAAGGCGGGGAUGACGUCAAGUCAUCAUGCCCCUUACGUCCUGGGCUACACACGUGCUACAAUGGCCGGUACAAAGGGAUGCCACACCGCGAGGUAGAGCUAAACCCAAAAAGCCGGUCUAAGUUCAGAUUGGAGUCUGCAACUCGACUCCAUGAAGGAGGAAUCGCUAGUAAUCGCGUAUCAGCACGACGCGGUGAAUACGUUCCCGGGCCUUGUACUCACCGCCCGUCACACCACGAAAGCCUGCUGUACUCGAAGUCGCUGAG
Molecule: ribosomal RNA, 408 nt
Filed under: uncultured Methylomirabilota bacterium
Lineage: Bacteria; Methylomirabilota (SeqCode)
Description: bacterial SSU rRNA
Rfam family: Bacterial small subunit ribosomal RNA
Source: RNAcentral